This 793-nucleotide non-coding RNA is filed under the name Ptychoptera sp. ATB-2011. Lineage: Eukaryota; Metazoa; Arthropoda; Insecta; Diptera; Ptychopteridae. The record is from RNAcentral.
AAGGUUUUAUUCUUGCUUAAAGUUUUAUUUAUAUUUUAUUUUACAUGUAAAUUUUUGUGAGAUUAAUUAAUAAUUUUUAAAAAAUGUUAAUUUAUUUUAUUCGCAGUAAUUAAUUUUAAUUAUUAAGGAAACUUAGAAUUAGUAAAAAUAUUGAAUACUGGCAAAAUUCGUGCCAGCUGCCGCGGUUACACGAAAAGUAUAAAUAAAUAAUUAUUGGUUUUAGUUAAAUUGAAAUUUUUAUUAAAAUAAUAUUAAUUUUAUUAGGUGAAAUUUUAAAAUUAAGUAUUUUUAAUUGAAUUUAUAUAAUUUAAGCUAUGAAAUUUUUAUAAUAAACUAGGAUUAGAUACCCUAUUAUUGAAAAUGUAAAAUUUUAAAUGCCUGAGUAGUAUGAGUUAAGUUCUUGAAACUUAAAGAAUUUGGCGGUGUUUUAGUCUAUUCAGAGGAACCUGUUUCAUAAUCGAUGAUCCACGUUGUACCUUACUUAAGUUUGUAUUCAAUUUGUAUACCGCCGUCAUCAGAAAAUCUUAUGAGAGUAAUAAUUUUCUAAAAUUUUUAUUUUAAAUUAUGUCAGGUCAAGGUGCAGUUUAUAUUUAAGUAGAAAUGGGUUACAAUAAAUUUAUUUAAAUGGAUAAUUAAUUUAAUAAUUAAUUUGAAGGUGGAUUUGAUAGUAAAAAAUUAAAGAUUGUAUUUUUGAUUUUAGCUCUAAAACAUGUACACAUCGCCCGUCGCUCUCAUUUUUAAAGUGAGAUAAGUCGUAACAUAGUAGGUGUACUGGAAAGUGUAUCUAGAUGGA